Molecule: long non-coding RNA, 9123 nt
Organism: Cyprinus carpio carpio
Lineage: Eukaryota; Metazoa; Chordata; Actinopteri; Cypriniformes; Cyprinidae
Source: Ensembl
UCUAUCUAUCUAUCUAUCUAUCUAUCUAUCUUAUUUAAUUUCGAUGCUACCUACCGUUAAGCACAGAAAUGGGGACACGGAUAAUGGCAUUAAAUUAGCGUCAUUUGAAACAUCUGUUGCUGUUUCAUUUGUCUAAUCUUUCCUCAAUUAAUGUUUCCUAAUGUAUUAAAGCAGCAGAACAUGGUUCAUGUUAAAUUAUUGGGUUUUUAGGCCUAUAGGCGACUACCACCUAAUGAUAUUAUUAUUAGCCUAUAAUUAAUUAUGAGAACAAUAAGUAAUUAUUUAUUCGGAAAUCAUUUUUACAUCUAUUCGCUUUCUCUUCUCAUUCAUGUUAUUUUCUUUGAUAAAUAAGCUUAUAUAUUAACAAGGUAUCAAGCCAUACUGUGCAAAACAUUUCUCUAAAAUACUAAAAUGUUUAAUAUGCAAACAGAAAUUACAAACCAGAUUAUAAACCUGUCUAGGCGAAAUAUAUUUUCUCGUUUCGUUCAGAGCGACGAAUAAACUAACUGUGUCUGUCAACACGUUUAACUGAGUCACUGCACGACUUUAAUUGCAUUGCUGCGGCAUCAUAACUUUUAAAAUAAUCUUCUCUCCAUCAAAAUCAUGAUGACAUCACAGAGAGGAUUUAUUAAGUUUAUUCGUUAGGCUUUUAUUACAUGAUUAUAAAAGAAAGAAGAAGCUUAUCAAAAUAGUUUUUUUUUAUUUAUUUUUUUUUUAUUUAGUUUCGUUUAAGCAGAUUGUGCGUAAAGUUUUCCCUGACCAGUCCUCCUCAACCAUAGCCAUGUCCAAAAAAAAGUAAAUAAAUUAUAAUAGGCAUUUUAAAAAUCAGAAACUCUCUUUCGUUUACACAUUUCCCUAUUAAAGAAAAAUAAUACUUAUCAACGUGAUCUUUAUUAUUUCUUUUGUGCAGCCAAAUAAUCACAAGCUGAGUAUAACUCGGUGUCUGCAGCACUGCCAGACUAUUGCCAAAUAACAGUCUGGGAGAGGAGAGGGGGAAAAAGAUGGAGGAAUUAAUAUGUAGUGUUAAUUAACAGGAAGUCAGAGGCAGUCUCAGCAUCACCAUGACAAAGUUUGAUCAGAGGAAGUAUAUUCCCACAGUAUUGUGUUCAGUGUUUAUAAUGACUGCUCGGUGUUGUUGCCUUUUUUGCAAACACCUGAAAACUGAGGAUUCAGUCGCAGUGUCGAUUUGUGUUUGCUGUGAAAUCUAGGGUCAGGUUUGACUUCAAUUCUCUUGCCACGUUUUUUGCCUUACAUUUGGCAUGUAUUUUAGUUCUACAGCUAUAAGAUAUUAGUAUUUUUCUGUUUUAUCAGCCACUUUUUAGAUGCACUCUUAAAAAUAAAUACAACUGCAUGGAGGAACCGCUUUGGGUUUCCCAAAGAACCAAAUAUUAAAAUAAUAAUAAUAAUAAUAAUAAUAAUAAUUGUAAAUAGUGUGAAGAACAUUUUAAUAGUCUAAAGAACGUUUUUCCACUAUAGAUUUCCAUGGACUUCAUGGAACAAACAAACAAUACAUAUAUAUAAAAGAACGUUUAUUUUUAAGUAUAGUCUAUUUAUUUUGAGAAUUGCAUAUUAUUCUCAACAAUAUCUAAUUCGUUGAUGCACCUGUGAGAAAUGUGCAUCGUAAGAAGAGCCGGUCGAUCUCAGCAGGUGUUGUAGGUCAGUUGGCCGAUAUUUUCUAGCCUCCCGAUGGCUCGAUGGCCAUCUCUCCAUAUCAGAGUCGUGCAGACAAUCAACAACUUCCUACAUAAACACAUGUGAAUGCAUGGGAUGCAGACCAAAUGGAAGGGCAAGAGAGGAUAGGGCCACCCCGCAGUUUACAUGUUACCCAACAAGCAACGCGCCGGUCCCCCUCGGUUCAGGAUGCGACGCGAAUCCUCCUCAUGUCAGGCGAAAUGUGUUGAAGCGAAAGGCUGCCUUCCGUAGCUCUCUGAGCAGUCCUGUCUGCUGUGUGUUUGUUUCGAUGCCGGUUUGCGAGCCCCCCGAUUCUGGAGCACGGAUUUGGCAGUCACAGCAAGUGAUGACAGAGGCAUUGGUGAGAUCGCACCCGGAACCCCAGAGGACGCCACCGUUCCGGAGGAAGCAGUAUAAAGGAAGGCCUCUUAGACCGCCUCAGGCUUCGCUUCGAGCUUGCUUCUGUACACUCUUUAAAAAUAAACCUUCCAGAAAGAGGUUUUCGCACUGUUUCCAGAAAGAGCUUUUUUUUUGGAUGUCCAAAGAACCUUUCAGUCAACAAUUUUUCUUAUUAUAAUGAACAUUUUGUAAUCUAAAGAACAUUUUUUCCACUAUAAAGAAACUUUUGUGCAAUUAAAAGGUUCCAUGGAUUUUCCCAGCCAACCAAAAUAUGCUCUAAAACGUUUGAAGCUGUAAAAACAUUAUUUCUGAACGUUCUGUGAAGACAAAUUGGUUCUGUGAAUGUUAAGGGAACGUUUUAUUUUGCAAAUAUUAAGGGAACGUUACUUAUGAAUGUUCUGACAAAACUGAUUUCAGAGGGGGAAAAAACACACAUUUUUGAGCUAAUGUUUGGAAAACAUUAAGACAGUUUUCCAAGACAUUUUGAAUGUUUUAUUAACGUUCUGAAACAAAUGGUUACAAAAACGGAUUUCAGAAAAAAAAAUGCUCUGACGUUUUGAGAGCAUCAGUAAAGACCAGAUGAUUCUGAACGGAUUUUCUAUGAAUGAUAUUUGAAGAACGUUUAUACUCUGAGAGAACCCUGUUCUGAGAACGUUCCCUGUGUACUGGGUUAAAGGUUCUUUUUGGACGCAUUGUUAGCCGCUUGCGACGCCAAGGUGAUAGGUUCGAUUCUCAGCAGGCUUAGCUGUCCUCGCCGAUCAAAAGUAUGUUUGCAAGGCGCACUGCGAUCCAUUCAUCUAAGAUUUUUUUUUUAAUUACUAUUAUUUUUUUCAUGCAAAUUUAUUUUUAACACUGUUGCAAGCUGGGAUUGUGACACAGAUGACCUUUCGGAAGCAAUAAUGAAAUAGUGAUGCACUGCGUAGCUCUGUUUCCUGUUGCAUUCGUAUAUGGCUUUUCCCUUUGCUUUCUAGGUGGUUAAAAGAGGAGAGAGAUGCAAUGCGCCGCAAGGGUUAAGGCAGCAUGAGAGAAUCCAUUCUCGGCUUAAUGACCUAGCCUAGCUGGGCGAGGACGGCAGGGAACACGCUCUUGACUUGUACCGAAUUUGCCAAUUAACACCUCGGAUAACAGGCAGCCUCGGAACAUCAGGCGCGUUGGGAGGAGAGGCUCACAUGCACUUUGUUUUUCAUUCUUGGCCUGCCUCCUAUGGCUGGCAUGCGUGCGUUUCAGCAUCUUAAGGCCGCCACAGUCAUUCAUAUCGCGCCGAACGCAAGGAACGCCGCGAUCAGAACAGCAGAGAUGGCUUGGAGAAACAUGUUCGUUUUGUCCCUAUACAGCUGGAGAGAUUUUUGGCUCCGGCUGCAUCGAAGAUAUUCUUCGACUUCUUUUUUUUCCAUUUCGUAUUUCUCCGUUACUGAUAGCGUUUGCUAUUUUCACACUAGUCCAUAUGGCCGCUUGCAGCCUCAAUUAGAUCCACAACUCUGGUUUCCAAGACACUCUCGUCUCUCUCUCUCGCUUUCUCUCUCAGGCCUGGCUCCCUCUCCCUCUUCCUCUCUUUUGUUGCUCCUAUUGAACAAAUGAAGACUAACAGACUGAUAUCGUCUUGAUCACAAAGUUAAUUAUUCAAAAAUCUAGAUCUCGACUCCGGUCUCCUUGGUUGAAGCACCCACUCCUCUCCAGCCUAUUAUUUUCUCACAUGUUUAUCAGACGCCUAAACAACACCUUGGGCGGGUGUGAAUUUUCAGGCCCCCAGUGAAAUUCUCACCGGGCUCCGUCACUGUUUUUCCUCCGAGUCCGUUUACAGGUAGGAGAGAGAGAGAGAGAGAGAGAAGCACCGCUGUCAGGUCCUAAUGACUGGAAACCCAUCUGAAACACCUUUCGGCCCGUGUGUCGCGCGCACGUCCUCACAUCAAGCUGGAGAAAUUGAAUAGCCUACGUGCACGCGACUACGUGGUUUCGCGAUUCAUUAGCAGCUAUUCUAACGGAAUGCGAUCAUCAAAGGAAAGAUACAUAAUUGAUAGAGGUUCACACCGCAGCCAAAGGUGAUGCAAUCUGUCUAGCAACGUUGGCAAAUCUGUGCCUUAUACUACAACUAGAAGCAUAACACUCCGAGGUGCGAGUUGUGUCGGAUGAGGAGCGCGCAGGCCGCGCGGUUAACACUUGUUUUAAACGGGGCGCGCGGCCCGCUCACCUCCGAGGUUGCGAGAUCGUAACUCGCCUCGUCGAUGAGACGAGCAGAGAGAAUGUGAUCCGUGCAAUGGAGGUCCACACACCCGCGUUCAUUUAUUUAUGCAGUGUGAAGAAACCAUCUGGCCGUGGAGAAAUUGAAAGUGGAUGUAAUCUGGCAGGCGGCGGAGUUUAUGACUGUACACCUCAAGUGGGAGGACAAAAUCAUUAAUGUUCCUCUGAACCGGCACAGGCCAUUAAAAGACUGACUAUCAGAAACCUUCGAUUUCUUGAAAGUCUCCCAAACAAUUAUGAUUCACAUAGGCUACAUUCGCAAAAUACUACAGGCCAGGUCAAAUUUACUCUCAUCGAGUCAUAAAUUGGACAUUGGAUUUUAUGGCAUUUUAUUUUGAUUCCCGGAGCUGCACUUUUGCACUUUUUUUGCAUAGAGUUUUGAAAUGCUCCAUCCUCCAAUCUCAAACUGUUCAGAUCCGACUGAAAUCUAGUCUUCAUAAUAAACUUUAAUUUAUUGUUAGUUCUUCAGGCAUUUUGGAAUAACAGUAUCUGUCCUACUUCUUCCUCCUUUACCUCACGAUGAAUCAAACGUGCUAAUGUAUUCACCUGUCACAAUUUUGCAGUUUAGUUUAAGCAAAUGCUGUUUUUCAGUGGGGAGUUUUAAGUUCUGAAAGUUACAGUAUGCUUCACAGUACAAUGAACUGUUUCUGGAAUGAUCAAGGAGAUUUUAAUUCCUCAUGAUAUGUGCCUUAUCCUUUUAUUUUUUAAAAAUAAGGGAUUCACUAAUUCAGUAUUGUGAAGUCUUUCUUUGUACAACUUUAAAUUAGACUGUUACAGAUCUGGAUUUACAAAAAAGGCUUGUAAAUUUUUCAUUAGUGUGCUUAAGGUAAAUGCUGUGACACUUUUACAUCAAAAGUGUUUUAAACAAGUAAAAACCACUAACUGAGUUAUUUGGUGUCUCAAUAAAGCAAUAAUAGAGGCUGUGUUAUUUUGUGACUGUAAUCACGACUGUGGUUUUCUACAAUAAAGCACAGCUUUCAUAUAGCAUUAACUACUAAAAAAUAUUAAAGACAUAAAUUGUCUUUAAGCCCUACAUUUUAUUUUAUUCCACAAAUGUAUAUUCUAAAAUAUAAUAUUCUUGACAAACAUUCACAACUAAUUGGUGCAUUCAGGAAUACAGCUUUCCAUUUUAUUAUAAGUUUUUGUAUAUCAUAAUAAUCCUAAAUCCUUAUUGAAAGAAACACUGUCAAUUUGUGCAUAUGCAAAAAAUAAAUUAAUUUAAAUGAAUGAAUGAAUACUGUUUUCUAAAUGGGUAGAUCCUACAUGGUAAGUUAAUGCAUCUAAUAUAUAUAAAAAAAUACAAAGCAAAGUAAAGCAAUUUGAGAAACAGAUGCACUGAUUAUGUAGACUGAAUUCAUUUGCCUUUUUCCUUUUCUUAACGUCUUUUAAUUUAGUGCACAACAAAUUUGUUGCCUACUCUGCUCACACUCUCGUCUAUCUAGGGAUGAGCUAGCGCAAUUCUCCGCUGGCUUUUCUGCGACAACAACCUGCAAAGUGCUCCCACAACCCUAAUCUGCACGUCAGGGACCCCACACUUCCUGAGCACCCACGGCUUCUGUUGUUUUCCUGCGAGUCCUGCCUUCGUUCUAUUGUGUUUGCAUCCCAUAGGUCACGUCAAAUUCAUCGCACAGUCAUUGGCUGUGUACACAAUAGAGCGAGUGCGUGUGCAAGAGGAUGGAAAUGAGAGUUGUGAGUCUUGCUAUUGUGGUGAUGAACCGACUCCAGAUAUAAAUGCCAAGUUUGGAUUUAAAGCUGAGAAGCAGGUGUGAAAAGUACUGAGAAAUCCAUUAUUUCACAUCUGAAAUUCUUUUUAAGGACCUCUGAUUUCUGUAAACCAAAAUUAGCACUUUUCCGGUUCCUCUAACUGGUAGAGUAUAAAGCUGGAAGUGCCAAGGUUGUGGCUUUGAUUUCCAGGGAACAAGAGUCUGGUAUGAGUGACAAAUGGAGCUCAUGUGUAGUUCAGACAGACCACUUUGUGACAGCCAGAAUAAGCUGAUGCUCAGCUGAUUGUAACUCCUCCCACUACAAUUAAAUCAGAUAUAUAAGUUCAUCCAUACUCACGCUUUUCUCAUUUAUUUGUAUAGCGCGUUUCACAAUACACAUAGUUGCAAAGCAGCUUCACAGACAAUUAAAGUUUCUACAGUACAUUUAGUAGUUUAUCAGUCAAGGUACAAUACAAUAAAAUCAUGCAGUUAGUCAAUGUCAUGUAUUCAAACAAAAAUAGUGAACACGAUUAACAGCAAUGAUUAUAUGUUGCGAUCAUUUGGUAGUUUUGUAUGUUGGUUUGGGGUUAUCAUCAUCUGAAGUCCUCAGAGGGAUAGGAGUCAUCUCUGCUCAGGUGUUCCGUCAUCUCAGAUCUUCAUAAGAGGCUGGAUCCAGACUGAAGCUUGGGUAAUCUCUAGUUUCUUCGGGAUGCAGAAACAGAAAAGCAAACUGAGAAAAGUUAGCAUAGCUGUUGUUCAAAAGUCCAGAGUUUUGUGAACUUAGGGAGCAGGACGGAUUGUAGAAGACUGGUUAGGGGAGCAGGAGCUAAACCAGUUAGCGCCUUAUAAGUAAAUAGAAAUAUUUUGUAACUGAUACUGAACUUAAUAGCUAGCCAGUGUAGAGAUUGUAAAAUUGGAGUACUUGUUUUAGUCUGUUGCACAGACAUGUGCUAACCCUCCUCCAUCCCCAGCUCCUCCUUAUACAGGCACAUGAUCGCUCAGCAUCUUGUCCACGAAAAUCAUCUAUCAGCUAAUCGUUGUCCAGUCUUAUUUACAGGCCUGUAUCACUUCUGCAUGGAAUUUUAUAUCUGUUGCACAUUUAAAAAAAAAAUAAAAAAAGAAAAAAAUCUGGUAAUUGCAUUAUAGGCUUCAGGGGUUUCAAACCUCAGUGAGGUUUGUUUGUGGACAGCUCAGAAUCUGAACCCUUCAGAGCAAAGCUUGCUGCCAAAAUAAUGUUCAGGACCUCUACAAUAAUCUUAAUCAAACAGAGUGGUCCUGACUGAAAUGUACUUAAAGGAAUAGUUCACCCAAAAAUUUUUAUAAAAAUGAACUCACAGGCCAUCCAAGAUAUAGAUGAGUCCAAACAGCUGAUAAAAGCAUCAUAUUAAUCCACAAGUAAUCCAAACCACUCCAGUCCAUCAGUUAACAUCUUGAGAAGUAAAAGCAUGGUUGUAAGAAACAGAUACAUCAAGGCAUUUUUAACCCCAAACCAUUGCUUCUGGCCAAAAUAUGAGUCCAUAACAACACUUCCUCCAGUGAAAAAGUCCAUCUCCUGUUGUCUCUCUCUUGCAUUGUUUUAACAGCUGUUUGGACUCUCAUUCUGACGGCACCCAUUCACUGCAGAGGAUCCAUUGGUGAGCAAGUGAUGUAAUGCUACAUUUCUCCAAAUAUGAUGAAAAAACAAACACAUCUACUGUACAUCUUGGAUGUCCUGAGGGAGAGUACAUUUUCAGUAAAUUGUAUAUUUUUUCUUAUUAGGAGCAAUGGUUAGGUGCAAACUGAAUUAGGUGAAUUGAGUUAAAUAGAUGAAGUAUUGCCCUUUGAAUUUGAAUGUAAAGAUUCAAAAUGAACUGAAAUUCAGAGAAAUUCAUAUAACUAAUAAUAAUACAUUUGUACAUUUUUUUAAUAAUACAAUUUUAAACUAUAAAAAAAAAUCCUGUGUGUUGCAAUUCAGUUCACACUGAUGAAAGGGAGCGAAUUCUGAAUUUCUGAACAAGAUCAAUUAUAUGUAUCAUGUGCAUAACGUGCAAAUUGUGAUGCAAUGCAAGUGUGGUCAGUUUUCUCUUUCAGAUCAACUGUCAUGGUGGAGCCAUAAUCUUGCUAAACAGGUUAGAAUGAUUGCAGAUAUCUGAACGGCACACAGACGCUGGACAGCUAUCAAACAUGGCUUAUGUUAUUGCCAUCCAGAAAUCUCAGCUCCUCAGCCAUGAUGGCAGAAAGAGAGAGAGAGAGAGAGAUGUGCGCUGGCAGCCUCUUCCAUCUGCAUUACUAAAUCAUACACUGUCUCUCUACAGGGACAAAUAAAAACCUCAGUGCUGAAUAUUUCAGCAACGGCUUGGAUUUCAUCAUGUGUAGGCCUGACAAUAUUGAUAGAGGAGCCAAAAAGAUGCUAAACCUAAAGCCAAUGACAUGAGACUGGUUUAGUAGCCUCAGUAUUAGUAAUGCAAGAGCAGUUUUGAAUCAUUCAUUUAUUUUUAACCUUGUGUGGCAGCAGUGUAUUUAUAUUUCUCAAACGCUCUGUAAACAUUUAAAUUUGGCAGUUAAUUCAACCCGAAUCGCUUAAUGUACAGAAUCCAUUCAAUCUUAUUUUUUUUUAGUUCGUCCAUCCUAGAAAUGAUAAAGUUUAUAAAAAAACAAAUUAAACAUUAUAUCUAAGAAAUCUAUGAUUAAAAUUUGAAAAACUGCUGUUGAUUUCCCCCAUUAGAAAUUAGUAAACUGAUAUUUGUGAAUCCCUCACCUUUUUUUUGCAUACUAAAUUUUGAUUGGUUUUGACUUUGUCUCAUGUAACCAUGCAGUAACUACAUCGUAAAAAAAAAAAAAGAUUGUGAUUACAUUUUGUAUCAUAGCUCAUUAAUAUGAAACAUAUUUCUUAAAAAAAAAAUUUAACAUUAGUGUUUUUUUAAUAAUAAAUACGUUUUCACAGUGUUGUAGAAACAUUUGCCGUUAUCAAAAUGUUUUUUUUUUCACAUUUAUCUUUAAAAGUGUAAUCAUCAACAUAAAAGGUGUAUUAAUGAGAGAAAUAGAAUAUUAAAGGAAUAGUUCACCCAAAAAUGAAAAUUUGUAGAUGAGUUUGAUGAGUUUGUUUCUUUAUGGGAACAGAUUUAGAAAAAUG